UACAGAGGGUGCAAGCGUUAAUCGGAAUUACUGGGCGUAAAGCGCGCGUAGGUGGUUUGUUAAGUUGGAUGUGAAAUCCCCGGCUCAACCUGGGAACUGCAUCCAAAACUGGCAAGCUAGAGUAUGGUAGAGGUGGUGGAAUUUCCUGUGUAGCGGUGAAAUGCGUAGAUAAUAGGAAGGAACACCAGUGGCGAAGGCGACCAACCUGGACUGAUACUGACACUGAGGUGACGAAAGCGUGGG
Molecule: ribosomal RNA, 243 nt
Filed under: uncultured bacterium
Lineage: Bacteria
Description: partial 16S ribosomal RNA
Rfam family: Bacterial small subunit ribosomal RNA
Source: RNAcentral